AGCAGCCGCGGUAAUUCCAGCUCCAAUAGCGUAUAUUAAAGUUGCUGCAGUUAAAAAGCCGUAGUUGAAUUUCGGGACUAAUAUGUCGGUCGUGCCUCGGUACGUACUGGCUUAUUGGUUCUCCUUUCUGAAGAACCAUGAUGUCAUUUAUUUGGUGUCGUGGGGAAUCAGGACUGUACUUUGAAAAAAUUAGAGUGUUUAAAGCAGGCUCAC
Molecule: ribosomal RNA, 213 nt
Filed under: uncultured Glomeromycotina
Lineage: Eukaryota; Fungi; Glomeromycota
Description: partial small subunit ribosomal RNA
Rfam family: Eukaryotic small subunit ribosomal RNA
Source: RNAcentral